RNAcentral lists this ribosomal RNA (783 nucleotides) under Aerococcus sp. C92-PCA-T3P21. RNAcentral describes it as "bacterial SSU rRNA". It matches the Rfam family "Bacterial small subunit ribosomal RNA", at positions 52 to 818 of the family's 1533-position model. The record is from RNAcentral. Lineage: Bacteria; Bacillati; Bacillota; Bacilli; Lactobacillales; Aerococcaceae.
UACAUGCAAGUCGAGCGACAGAUGAAGUGCUUGCACUUCUGACGUUAGCGGCGAACGGGUGAGUAACACGUAAGGAAUCUACCUAUAAGCGGGGGAUAACAUUCGGAAACGGGUGCUAAUACCGCAUAAUAUCUUCUUCCGCAUGGAAGAAGAUUGAAAGACGGCUCUGCUGUCACUUAUAGAUGACCUUGCGGUGCAUUAGUUAGUUGGUGGGGUAACGGCCUACCAAGACGAUGAUGCAUAGCCGACCUGAGAGGGUGAUCGGCCACAUUGGGACUGAGACACGGCCCAAACUCCUACGGGAGGCAGCAGUAGGGAAUCUUCCGCAAUGGGCGAAAGCCUGACGGAGCAAUGCCGCGUGAGUGAAGAAGGCCUUCGGGUCGUAAAACUCUGUUAUAAGAGAAGAACAAAUUGUAGAGUAACUGCUACAGUCUUGACGGUAUCUUAUCAGAAAGCCACGGCUAACUACGUGCCAGCAGCCGCGGUAAUACGUAGGUGGCAAGCGUUGUCCGGAUUUAUUGGGCGUAAAGGGAGCGCAGGUGGUUUCUUAAGUCUGAUGUGAAAGCCCACGGCUUAACCGUGGAGGGUCAUUGGAAACUGGGAAACUUGAGUACAGAAGAGGAAUGUGGAACUCCAUGUGUAGCGGUGGAAUGCGUAGAUAUAUGGAAGAACACCAGUGGCGAAGGCGACAUUCUGGUCUGUUACUGACACUGAGGCUCGAAAGCGUGGGGAGCAAACAGGAUUAGAUACCCUGGUAGUCCACGCCGUAAACGAUGAGUGCUA